RNAcentral lists this ribosomal RNA (1765 nucleotides) under Kronborgia isopodicola. Its description in RNAcentral is "SSU rRNA". It matches the Rfam family "Eukaryotic small subunit ribosomal RNA". Lineage: Eukaryota; Metazoa; Platyhelminthes; Fecampiida; Fecampiidae. The record is from RNAcentral.
UAAUGAUACGCUCGUUUCAAAGAUUAAGCCAUGCAAGUGUAAGUGCAUGUCGUUGUAUGACAAAACCGCAAACUGCUCAUUAAAUCAGAUAUAAUUUAUUGGUUCAUAUCUGACUUGUUGGAUAACUGUAGUAAUUCUGGAGCUAAUACAUUAACCGAAGAAAGUCCUAUCGUGCGGUAGGACGGGUUUAUUAGAUCAAAACCAAUCGUAUGAAAAUACGUUUGCUAUGAUAACUCUGGAUAACCAUACUACUCGCAUGGCCUCGUGUCGGCGGUUUUUCCAUCAAGUAUCUGCCCUAUCAACUUUAUGGUAGGAUAUAGGCCUACCAUGGUUUUUACGGGUAACGGGGAAUCAGGGUUCGAUUCCGGAGAGGCAGCCUGAGAAACGGCUACUACAUCCAAGGAAGGCAGCAGGCGCGUAAAUUACCCAAUCACGGAUGGGUGGAGGUAGUGACGGAAAGUAACAAUACGGGACUCAUAGAGGCUCCGUAAUUGGAAUGAAAGGACUUCAAAAAGGUUUUUGAAGACUAUUGGAGGGCAAGUCUGGUGCCAGCAGCCGCGGUAAUUCCAGCUCCAACAGCGUAUAUUAAUGUUGUUGCAGUUAAAAAGCUCGUAGUUGAUUGUUAGGAUUUGAAAAUGAUGUGCAUCUUUGAUGUAACAUUAUGAUCUGCCUUACAAUGUUUGACAUCAUUAGAUGAUCUUCGUCGGUUGUCUUUUGUAGCGGACAGUUUUACUGUGAAAAAAUUAGAGUGCUCGAAGCAGGCAAAUGCUUGUAUAUUAUUGCAUGGAAUAAUAAAAUAGGACUUUGUUUCUAUUUUGUUGGCUUUCGGAAAUGGAGUAAUGAUUAAUAGAGACAGGCGGGGGCAUUUGUAUGCUGGCGUUAGAGGUGAAAUUCUGAGAUCGUCGGCAGACAAACAACUGCGAAAGCAUUUGUCAAGAAUGUCUUCAUUAAUCAAGAACGAAAGUUAGAGGUUCGAAGACGAUCAGAUACCGUCCUAGUUCUGACCAUAAACUCUGCCACCUGACAAUUCGUGAUGGUAUUAUAUUUCCGCACGAGCAGUCACCGGGAAACCGUAAGUUUGCGGGUUCCGGGGGAAGUAUGGUUGCAAAGCUGAAACUUAAAGGAAUUGACGGAAGGGCACCACCAGGAGUGGAGCUUGCGGCUUAAUUUGACUCAACACGGGAAAACUCACCCGGCCCGGACACUGUGAGGAUUGACAGAUUAAAAGCUCUUUCUUGAUUCGGUGGAUGGUGGUGCAUGGCCGUUCUUAGUUCGUGGAUCGAUUUGUCUGGUUAAUUCCGAUAACGAACGAGACUCAUUCCUGCUAAUUAGGGUGUCUAACUACAUGUUGUAGGGCAUUUCCUACUUCUUAGAGGAAUAAGUGAUAUUUUUUAGUCAUAAGAGAUUGAGCAAUAACAGGUCUGUGAUGCCCUCAGAUGUCCGGGGCUGCACACGUGCUACAAUGGCAAUCCCAGCAAGAAUUCCUAUCUCGAAAGGGAUGGGGAAUCUUCUGAAUGAUUGUCGUGACUGGAACUGAUGAUUGAAAUUAUUCCUCAUGAACGAGGAAUUCCUAGUAAGGGCAAGUCAUUACCUUGUGCUGACUAUGUCCCUGCCCUUUGUACACACCGCCCGUCGCUACUACCGAUUGAGUGGUUAAGUGAGGUAAUUAGAUUGGACACAAAGAAACAUUUAUGUUUUUGCGUUUCUGAGAAGAUUUCCAAACUUGAUUACUUAGAGGAAGUAAAAGUCGUAACAAGGUUUCCGU